AGGACGAACGCUGGCGGCGUGCUUAACACAUGCAAGUCGAGCGGUAAGGCCUUUCGGGGUACACGAGCGGCGAACGGGUGAGUAACACGUGGGUGAUCUGCCCUGCACUCUGGGAUAAGCCUGGGAAACUGGGUCUAAUACCGGAUAUGACCUGCUCUCGCAUGGGGGUGGGUGGAAAGAUUUAUCGGUGCAGGAUGGGCCCGCGGCCUAUCAGCUUGUUGGUGGGGUAAUGGCCUACCAAGGCGACGACGGGUAGCCGACCUGAGAGGGUGACCGGCCACACUGGGACUGAGACACGGCCCAGACUCCUACGGGAGGCAGCAGUGGGGAAUAUUGCACAAUGGGCGAAAGCCUGAUGCAGCGACGCCGCGUGAGGAUGAAGGCCUUCGGGUUGUAAACCGUCUUUCAGCAGGACGAAGCGCAAGUGACGGUACCUGCAGAAGAAGCACCGGCUAACUACGUGCCAGCAGCCGCGGU
RNAcentral lists this ribosomal RNA (477 nucleotides) under uncultured soil bacterium. RNAcentral describes it as "bacterial SSU rRNA". It matches the Rfam family "Bacterial small subunit ribosomal RNA", at positions 26 to 521 of the family's 1533-position model. The record is from RNAcentral.